AGCAAUUUGAGAAGGAAGUAGUCAGCAGUGCUAAUCCACAGCCUGACAAGUGUCUGUGUCUUGCCGCAGAGUGGCUCUGUGGAGAGCUGUGGGCCACAGCGUGAGGCGGCAAAGUGAGGGUCCUAAGUAAGCUCUAUGAGAGAAAGACCCCUGUCUGUGAUUUGCUCCCAAGUGCUCAGCACCAAGUCCAGCGUGUGAUGGGUGCUCAAUGAAUCUCCGUGGCAUAGAUGGACAACCUAGCGUGCAGAGAAAGAGGAGGGCAUGAGAAAAUGUGUCUUACCGGUUCAAGUCAGAGCAGUCCAAGGCCUUCAUCGCCAUGGGCACACCACAUCCACCGUAAAUCCCAGUGGAGGACAAGUCAAGUCCACAGACACUCACCACUCACCAAGCCUUCACCAAGACCCAGGCACUUGUGGGACACUCCCAGGACGGCAGCUUACAGUAGAGAGAUGACAUAUUUG
This 461-nucleotide long non-coding RNA is filed under the name Equus caballus (horse). Its description in RNAcentral is "lncRNA (ENSECAG00000056630.1)". The record is from RNAcentral. Lineage: Eukaryota; Metazoa; Chordata; Mammalia; Perissodactyla; Equidae.